AUUUGUUUCCUCAGUAACGAAGCUAACGCGUGAAGUUGACCGCCUGGGGAGUACGGCCGCAAGGUUAAAACUCAAAGGAAUUGACGGGGACCCGCACAAGCGGUGGAUGAUGUGGUUUAAUUCGAUGCAACGCGAAAAACCUUACCCACCUUUGACAUGUAUGGAAUCCCGAAGAGAUUUGGGAGUGCUCGCAAGAGAGCCAUAACACAGGUGCUGCAUGGCUGUCGUCAGCUCGUGUCGUGAGAUGUUGGGUUAAGUCCCGCAACGAGCGCAACCCUUGCCAUCAGUUGCUACGAAAGGGCACUCUGAUGGGACUGCCGGUGACAAACCGGAGGAAGGUGGGGAUGACGUCAAGUCCUCAUGGCCCUUAUAGGUGGGGCUACACACGUCAUACAGUGGCCGGUACAAAGGGCAGCGAAGCCGCGAGGUGAAGCCAAUCCCAUAAAGCCGGUCGUAGUCCGGAUCGCAGUCUGCAACUCGACUGCGUGAAGUCGGAAUCGCUAGUAAUCGUGGAUCAGCAUGUCACGGUGAAUACGUUCCCGGGUCUUGUACACACCGCCCGUCACACCAUGGGAGCGGGUCUCACCAGAAGCAGGUAGCCUAACCGCAGGGAGGGCGCUUGCCACGGUGGGGUUCGUGACUGGGGUG
RNAcentral lists this ribosomal RNA (648 nucleotides) under uncultured Comamonas sp. RNAcentral describes it as "bacterial SSU rRNA". It matches the Rfam family "Bacterial small subunit ribosomal RNA", at positions 830 to 1482 of the family's 1533-position model. The record is from RNAcentral. Lineage: Bacteria; Pseudomonadati; Pseudomonadota; Betaproteobacteria; Burkholderiales; Comamonadaceae.